UUUAACUGGAAAAUACUACAUCAUCUCGAUGUUAGAA
Molecule: small RNA, 37 nt
Filed under: Anaerobutyricum hallii
Lineage: Bacteria; Bacillati; Bacillota; Clostridia; Lachnospirales; Lachnospiraceae
Description: CRISPR_Spacer
Source: RNAcentral